This 427-nucleotide ribosomal RNA is filed under the name uncultured bacterium. RNAcentral's name for it is "bacterial SSU rRNA". It matches the Rfam family "Bacterial small subunit ribosomal RNA", at positions 355 to 774 of the family's 1533-position model. The record is from RNAcentral.
UGGGGAAUUUUGGACAAUGGGGGCAACCCUGAUCCAGCCAUUCCGCGUGAGUGAAGAAGGCCUUCGGGUUGUAAAGCUCUUUCGGCAGGAACGAAACGGCGAGCUCUAACAUAGCUUGCUAAUGACGGUACCUGAAGAAGAAGCACCGGCUAACUACGUGCCAGCAGCCGCGGUAAUACGUAGGGUGCGAGCGUUAAUCGGAAUUACUGGGCGUAAAGCGUGCGCAGGCGGUUAUGUAAGACAGAUGUGAAAUCCCCGGGCUCAACCUGGGAACUGCAUUUGUGACUGCAUAGCUAGAGUACGGCAGAGGGGGGUAGAAUUCCACGUGUAGCAGUGAAAUGCGUAGAUAUGUGGAGGAACACCGAUGGCGAAGGCAGCCCCCUGGGUCAAGAUUGACGCUCAUGCACGAAAGCGUGGGGAGCAAACA